RNAcentral lists this ribosomal RNA (484 nucleotides) under uncultured bacterium. RNAcentral's name for it is "partial 16S ribosomal RNA". It matches the Rfam family "Bacterial small subunit ribosomal RNA", at positions 30 to 507 of the family's 1533-position model. The record is from RNAcentral.
AUCGAACGCUGGCGGCAGGCCUAACACAUGCAAGUCGAGCGGAUGAAGGGAGCUUGCUUCUGGAUCUAGCGGCGGACGGGUGAGUAAUGCCUAGGAAUCUGCUUGGCAGUGCUGGAUAAUGUCCGGAAACGGGUGCUAAUACUGCAUACGACCUGCUGCUGAAAGUGGGGGAUCUUCGGACCUCACGCUAUCAGAUGAGCCUAGGUCGGAUUAGCUAGCUGGUGGGGUAAGGGCCUACCUAGGCGACGAUUCGUAACUGGUCUGAGAGGAUGGUCAGUCACACUAGAGGGGGGACGCGGUCCAGGGUCCUGCGAGAGGCAGCAGUGGGGAAUAUGGGACAGUGGGGGGAAGCCUGGUCCAGCCAGGGCGCGUGUGUGAAGGAGGUCUUGGGAGUGUGAUGCACUUUAAGUUGUGGGAAAGGGCAGUAAGUUGAUACGUUGCUGUAGUGACGUUACCGGCAGAAUAAGCACCGGCUAACUUCGUG